UGCAAGUCGAGGGGUAACGGAAGUAGCUUGCUACUAGACGACGACCGGCGCACGGGUGAGUAACGCGUAUGUAAUCUGCCUUGUACAGAGGGAUAGCCCAGAGAAAUUUGGAUUAAUACCUCAUAGUAUUACUGAAUCGCAUGAUUUGGUAAUUAAAGCUCCGGCGGUACAAGAUGAACAUGCGUGACAUUAGCUAGUUGGUAAGGUAACGGCUUACCAAGGCUACGAUGUCUAGGGGUUCUGAGAGGAUGAUCCCCCACACUGGUACUGAGACACGGACCAGACUCCUACGGGAGGCAGCAGUGAGGAAUAUUGGUCAAUGGACGCAAGUCUGAACCAGCCAUCCCGCGUGAAGGAUGACUGCCCUAUGGGUUGUAAACUUCUUUUAUAUGCAAAUAAACCUACUUUCGUGAAAGUA
RNAcentral lists this ribosomal RNA (418 nucleotides) under uncultured bacterium. RNAcentral's name for it is "bacterial SSU rRNA". It matches the Rfam family "Bacterial small subunit ribosomal RNA", at positions 56 to 477 of the family's 1533-position model. The record is from RNAcentral.